UUGUCAGUCCAAAGAAAGUUUGACCAGAAAGACAAACUACAAUGGUAGAAAUAUGAAGAUAAGAAACUUUUGAAAAAUGAUGAGUGGAGCUUGCACGAUUUGCUGAUUAGCAAUUCCCUGUAACCAGGAGCUGAUAACAUCCUGGUUGCUUGGAA
Molecule: small nucleolar RNA, 155 nt
Organism: Microtus ochrogaster (prairie vole)
Lineage: Eukaryota; Metazoa; Chordata; Mammalia; Rodentia; Cricetidae
Product: U8 small nucleolar RNA
Source: RefSeq, a predicted model, not a curated record